Molecule: ribosomal RNA, 253 nt
Filed under: uncultured bacterium
Lineage: Bacteria
Description: partial 16S ribosomal RNA
Rfam family: Bacterial small subunit ribosomal RNA
Source: RNAcentral
UACGUAGGGUGCGAGCGUUAAUCGGAAUUAUUGGGCGUAAAGGGUGCGUAGGCGGCGCGGUAAGUCGGGUGUGAAAUUUCGAGGCUUAACUUCGAAACUGCAUUCGAUACUGCCGUGCUAGAGGACUGGAGAGGAGACUGGAAUUUACGGUGUAGCGGUGAAAUGCGUAGAUAUCGUAAGGAAGACCAGUGGCGAAGGCGGGUCUCUGGACAGUUCCUGACGCUGAGGCACGAAGGCCAGGGGAGCAAACGGG